This 392-nucleotide ribosomal RNA is filed under the name uncultured Glomeromycotina. RNAcentral describes it as "SSU rRNA". It matches the Rfam family "Eukaryotic small subunit ribosomal RNA", at positions 703 to 1092 of the family's 1831-position model. Lineage: Eukaryota; Fungi; Glomeromycota. The record is from RNAcentral.
CUGACGAGCCGUGAUGUCAUUCAUUUGGUGUUACGGGGAGUCAGGACUGUUACUUUGAAAAAAUUAGAGUCGUUUAAAGCAGGCAAUCGCUCGAAUACAUUAGCAUGGAAUAAUGAAAUAGGACGUUCGAACCUAUUUUGUUGGUUUCUAGGAUCGACGUAAUGAUUAAUAGGGAUAGUUGGGGGCAUUAGUACUCAAUUGUCAGAGGUGAAAUUCUUGGAUUUAUUGAAGACUAACUACUGCGAAAGCAUUUGCCAAGGAUGUUUUCAUUAAUCAAGAACGAAAGUUAGGGGAUCGAAGACGAUCAGAUACCGUCGUAGUCUUAACCAUAAACUAUGCCGACUAGGGAUCGGAUGAUGUUAAUUUUUUAAUGACUCAUUCGGCGCCUUACG